AUUGAACGCUGGCGGCAUGCCUUACACAUGCAAGUCGAACGGCAGCACGGGUGCUUGCCCUUGGUGGCGAGUGGCGCACGGGUGUGUAAUAUAUCGGAACAUGUCCUGUAGUGGGGUAUAGCCCGGCGAAAGCCGGUUUUAUACCGCAUACGCUCCACGGAUGAAAGCGGGGUACUUUCGGCCCUCGCGCUCUAGUGUUCGCCGAUGGCGGAUUAGCUAGUUGGUGGGGUAAAGGCCUACCAAGGCGACGAUCAGUAGCUGGUCUGAGAGGACGAUCAGCCACACUGGGACUGAGACACGGCCCAGACUCCUACGGGAGGCAGCAGUGGGGAAUUUUGGACAAUGGGCGAAAGCCUGAUCCAGCAAUGCCGCGUGUGUGAAGAAGGCCUUCGGGUUGUAAAGCACUUUUGUCCGGAAAGAAAGCCAGGAAGCUAAUACAGUCGGGGGAUGACGGUACCGGAAGAAUAAGCACCGGCUAACUACGUG
This 486-nucleotide ribosomal RNA is filed under the name uncultured bacterium. Its description in RNAcentral is "partial 16S ribosomal RNA". It matches the Rfam family "Bacterial small subunit ribosomal RNA", at positions 30 to 507 of the family's 1533-position model. The record is from RNAcentral.